This is a long non-coding RNA of Anthonomus grandis grandis, 971 nucleotides long. RefSeq lists it as uncharacterized. Lineage: Eukaryota; Metazoa; Arthropoda; Insecta; Coleoptera; Curculionidae. The transcript has 3 exons. The record is from RefSeq and is a predicted model, not a curated record.
CAAAGACAGUAAUGCAUUCGACGAUUGGCUUUCGUGGAGGCUGUGUCUUGGUUUUUCCUACUAAUCUUUAGUGUAGUGUUGGCGUCUCAAAAAGAUACAAAGAACAAGGCUGAGAUAAGUCGGGAGAUCCCUUAAUGGUUCCGAGCCAGACGACAAGGGACCCCACACAAAUCGAGCUGGCAAUUGCCUUGCAGCAAAGCCAUCAAUAAGAACAAGAACAACAAGAACAAGACAGUAAUGCUCUAAUACUUAAGUUAUAAUUAUGAAAUUUAAAAUUAUGAGAAAGAAAAUAAAGUAAAAUUUAGCACUUAAUACUUAUUCAAUUGUACAUCUGAUAAUACCUCGCAUAUACGUAUAUACUCAGUUCCCAAUUUCAAAUCAAAUCAGUGAUGGUGGCUAUAUAAACAAUUUUGCUAAAUUAAAUUUAAAAUCUGUGAUCAUUUCUACAUAUUAAUUCCAAAAAAAAAAAUCUAUAAAUUGCGACGAACCGAUAAAUCAAUACCUGAAGAAACCAAGCCAAAAAGAAAAGGGGCUACCUGAAAUUCUGAGUCUCUCCGACUGGUAGCAGGGUCCACCUGAUCUGAAUGGGGCUCCUUUGUUGGCAGCUAUACGUUUGGGUCAAAAGAGGCAGCAGCAGAUCGACCAGUUAGGAUGCUUCCAGAAUGUCUAGCAGGUAGUGGAAGGCAAUCGGUAUUAGGUGUAGCCGAUUGGGAGGACUGCAGGUUCCGGAGGUGAUGAUCCAAGCGACUUGAUGUGGUAACACGUGGAGUAGCAAGUGAGGUGGAAGCAGUAACAAUAAAAAUGCAGCAAAAGCAGAAGCAGAGGAUAAGCAGAAGGUACAGGAAGGCCUAAAAAUGGGGAACAUGAGGUUCGACAUGGCUGUCAAUUUUAUGGCAUUUUUGUGUGGAUCGGGUAUGUUAGGAGGGACCAUCUUAACGGUGUAUCAUAUCUAUGUAGUAUGUAUAUUCAUG